RNAcentral lists this ribosomal RNA (433 nucleotides) under uncultured bacterium. Its description in RNAcentral is "partial 16S ribosomal RNA". It matches the Rfam family "Bacterial small subunit ribosomal RNA", at positions 28 to 507 of the family's 1533-position model. The record is from RNAcentral.
GACGAACGCUGGCGGCAUGCCUAACACAUGCAAGUCGAACGAAACCUUCGGGUCUUUUGGCGCACGGCUGCUUAACGCGUGGGAAUCUGCCCUUGGGUUCGGACUACCUGUUUGACACGACUGCUAAUGCCGGAUGAUCACGUAAGUCCAAUGAUUUAUCGCCCCAGGAUGAGCCCGCGUAAGAUUCGCUGGUUGGGAAGGUAAUAGCUCAUCACGGCGCGGAUGCUUAGCUGGUAUGAGAGGAUGAGUAGCGACACUGGGGCUGAGACACGGCCCAGAAUCCUACGCAAGGGGGGAGAGGGGGAUAUAGGACAAUGGGGGAAGGGCUGAAAGAGCAAGGACGGGUAAGUGAUGAAGGCAGUAGGGAAGUAAUGCGAUAUUACCCGGGAAGAUAAUGACGGUACCGGGAGAAUAAGCUCCGGCUAACUACGUG